AGAAGAAGAAGAAAAAACCCGGGUUCAAACCGAAUCAGAAACAACAACAACACAACGAUGUCGUCUCCGUUCCACCGUCGAUCUCAAUCGGAAGGAAUCGGAAGGAAUCGAAUCUAAGAAGGCUGUGUCCCCUGAUAAACUCGCCCAAUUGUGGACCGUUGAUCCCAAACGAGCCAAGAGCACAAACUGCGACAAGGCUCGCCGACUCACAGCCGUUAAACUCCGACAGAGCGCCGCCGUUCACCUCCGUCAGAGAACACAAAGCCAUUGCACUUCUCUAUAUCUAUCUCCCUCUUCCUCAAUGAAAAGGUUACGAGGACGUGGAUAGUAUCUAUGCAUCUAAUGAAGACUUUAAGAACAUGAAAGAGAAAGAAAGGGUUAGAGGGACUCAUCUGCUGGAAUACUUUGUCAGUAGGUGUAAUGAAAU
Molecule: long non-coding RNA, 427 nt
Organism: Lathyrus oleraceus (garden pea)
Lineage: Eukaryota; Viridiplantae; Streptophyta; Magnoliopsida; Fabales; Fabaceae
Exons: 3
Source: RefSeq, a predicted model, not a curated record